This 320-nucleotide ribosomal RNA is filed under the name uncultured bacterium. Its description in RNAcentral is "bacterial SSU rRNA". It matches the Rfam family "Bacterial small subunit ribosomal RNA", at positions 197 to 507 of the family's 1533-position model. The record is from RNAcentral.
CGGGGGAUCGCAAGACCUCGCGCGAUUGGAGCGGCCGAUAUCAGAUUAGGUAGUUGGUGAGGUAAAGGCUCACCAAGCCGACGAUCUGUAGCUGGUCUGAGAGGACGACCAGCCACACUGGGACUGAGACACGGGCCCAGACUCCUACGGGAGGCAGCAGUGGGGAAUUUUGGACAAUGGGCGCAAGCCUGAUCCAGCAAUGCCGCGUGCAGGAUGAAGGCCUUCGGGUUGUAAACUGCUUUUGUACGGAACGAAACGGUGAGCUCUAAUACAGUUUGCUAAUGACGGUACCGUAAGAAUAAGCACCGGCUAACUACGUG